CCUACGGGUGGCAGCAGUGAGGAAUAUUUGUCAAUGGGCGCGAGCCUGAACCAGCCAAGUAGCGUGAAGGAUGACUGCCCUACGGGUUGUAAACUUCUUUUAUAAAGGAAUAAAGUGAGGCACGUGUGCCUUUUUGUAUGUACUUUAUGAAUAAGGAUCGGCUAACUCCGUACAAGCAGCCGCGGUAAUACAGGGGCUCCGUGGGUUUUCCGGUUUUUUUGGGUUAAAGGGAGCGUAGAAGGGGUUUUAAGUCAGUUGUGAAAGUUUGCGGGUCAACCGUAAAAUUGCAAUUGAUACUGGCAGACUUGAGUACAGUUGAGGUAGGCGGAAUUCGUGGUGUAGCGGUGAAAUGCUUAGAUAUCACGAAGAACUCCGAUUGCGAAGGCAGCCUACUAAACUGCCACUGACAUUGAUGCUCGAAAGUGUGGGUAUCAAACAGGAUUAGAUACCCGUGUAGUC
RNAcentral lists this ribosomal RNA (459 nucleotides) under uncultured bacterium. Its description in RNAcentral is "partial 16S ribosomal RNA". It matches the Rfam family "Bacterial small subunit ribosomal RNA", at positions 338 to 795 of the family's 1533-position model. The record is from RNAcentral.